Molecule: non-coding RNA, 234 nt
Organism: Cinara cedri
Lineage: Eukaryota; Metazoa; Arthropoda; Insecta; Hemiptera; Aphididae
Source: the annotation of a GenBank genome assembly
GCGGAGACAUAUUCAAAAUCCAACGAAUCACUGGUUGAUAAUUAAUAAUAAAUCCGAAAGAUGAAUAUUACGUUUCAAAUCAAUACAAGUGCUCUAAAAGCAAUGGUUAUUUGAGUAGGUAGGUAUCAAAUAUUUUUCUUGUAUUCGGUGAAUUGAUCCCGGCUGGAAAUUGGUCACUGAAAAAUUUAAUGCUUUGCGUAGACUUAUCUCCGGUUUAAACUCAUAUACUAAUUC